This 163-nucleotide ribosomal RNA is filed under the name Memecylon rostratum. RNAcentral's name for it is "5.8S ribosomal RNA". It matches the Rfam family "5.8S ribosomal RNA". From Rfam's summary of the family: 5.8S ribosomal RNA (5.8S rRNA) is a component of the large subunit of the eukaryotic ribosome. The record is from RNAcentral. Lineage: Eukaryota; Viridiplantae; Streptophyta; Magnoliopsida; Myrtales; Melastomataceae.
AAAACAACUCUCGGCAACGGAUAUCUCGGCUCUUGCAUCGAUGAAGAACGUAGCGAAAUGCGAUACUUGGUGUGAAUUGCAGAAUCCCGUGAACCAUCGAGUCUUUGAACGCAAGUUGCGCCCAAAGCCAUUUGGUUGAGGGCACGCCUGCCUGGGUGUCGUG